AGAUUUUAUAGUUUAAAUAAAACCCUGAUCUUGUAAAUCAGAAAUGAUUUAUAUCUAAAAUCU
Molecule: transfer RNA, 63 nt
Filed under: Ramisyllis kingghidorahi
Lineage: Eukaryota; Metazoa; Annelida; Polychaeta; Phyllodocida; Syllidae
Description: Ramisyllis sp. k GPS-2021 tRNA-Thr
Source: RNAcentral